GCCCGGAUAGCCUUGCGGUUAAGGUGUUCUAUUCAUAAUAGUUCUACCCGGGUUCGAGUCCCCGUGGGUG
This 70-nucleotide transfer RNA is filed under the name Fasciola hepatica (liver fluke). RNAcentral describes it as "tRNA-Met". Lineage: Eukaryota; Metazoa; Platyhelminthes; Trematoda; Plagiorchiida; Fasciolidae. The record is from RNAcentral.